This 253-nucleotide ribosomal RNA is filed under the name uncultured bacterium. RNAcentral's name for it is "partial 16S ribosomal RNA". It matches the Rfam family "Bacterial small subunit ribosomal RNA", at positions 524 to 776 of the family's 1533-position model. The record is from RNAcentral.
UACGGAGGGGGCGAGCGUUAUUCGGAAUUAUUGGGCGUAAAGGGCGCGUAGGCGGCUUGAUAAGUCAAAGGUGAAAUCCCUCGGCUCAACUGAGGAACUGCCUUUGAAACUGUCAGACUUGAGGCCGGGAGGGGGUAGCGGAAUUCCCAGUGUAGCGGUGAAAUGCGUAGAUACUGGGAGGAACACCGGUGGCGAAGGCGGCUACCUGGACCGGUUCUGACGCUGAGGCGCGAAAGCGUGGGGAGCAAACAGG